This is a long non-coding RNA of Photinus pyralis (common eastern firefly), 858 nucleotides long. RefSeq lists it as uncharacterized. Lineage: Eukaryota; Metazoa; Arthropoda; Insecta; Coleoptera; Lampyridae. The transcript is spliced from 3 exons. The record is from RefSeq and is a predicted model, not a curated record.
CACUCGCCAUGAAGAAAACAUUCACACCAGGUGGCUGAACAACACCUCCCACGUUAGUCUAAAAAAUUAACUCUUUGUGUUCCCAAACAUAAAAUAGGAGAUUUUUAGUACAUUUCCGUGUAUUGCGACCAUUAAAAAAUGUGACUCAAACCGUUUUAUGCGUUUGCAACAAAAACGAUAACAUUGGCCGCAUUGAUUAGGUUGAAUGGGUUUCGCAUCUUAACCCAAGAAACGAAAUUUUCGUGUGUGUUAAUUAUAAACAAAGAGUGUAUUAUAUUAUUUUCGUUUCAAGGCGUGGGAUAGGUUCGGAUGUCAAAAAAAUUUAAAUUAGUCCGCAAUUAUAGAAGAACAAGCAGCGCUUCGGGACGAAUGGGUAGGGCGAUUACAAAUGAUUAUUACGAUUUGGUAACUAUUAAUUAAAAUGGAGCAGAACACACACUCAAUUUCAGUUUUCGAAAAAAUAUCGCUAACAAUACAACUUAUUACAAUAAAAUUUCACUUUUUUCUGGUUUUCUACGUCUCGUACCGUUUCCCAAGAGCAUAUUUGCAUAUCGUUACAGAUGUUAAUAACAAAUUUGCGUAUCGCUCCCACUGUGUCAGAAAACUUCGAAAAUAGAAUUUAGUUUCAAACUGACAGCACGGACGGACGGACAGAUCUCUUUUAUCUUAAUUGUCGUUAUAUUUUGGAAUAUUCCCUGAUACAGUAUUUAUGAAAGGAAUUUUUCAAACACUUAUUGCAAGAGGGGCGCUGCCAUUUAUUUUCCUAGAUGAAGACGGAUAAUUUCGCCAAUUUGGCUCUUAAGAGAUUUAAGAAACCGCAAAACAAUAUGGCCUCUCAAUCAAUGACAUACUUUAUAA